GACGAACGCUGGCGGCGUGCUUAACACAUGCAAGUCGAACGGAAAGGCCCUGCUUUUGUGGGGUGCUCGAGUGGCGAACGGGUGAGUAACACGUGAGUAACCUGCCCUUGACUUUGGGAUAACUUCAGGAAACUGGGGCUAAUACCGGAUAGGAGCUCCUGCUGCAUGGUGGGGGUUGGAAAGUUUCGGCGGUUGGGGAUGGACUCGCGGCUUAUCAGCUUGUUGGUGGGGUAGUGGCUUACCAAGGCUUUGACGGGUAGCCGGCCUGAGAGGGUGACCGGCCACAUUGGGACUGAGACACGGCCCAGACUCCUACGGGAGGCAGCAGUGGGGAAUAUUGCACAAUGGGCGGAAGCCUGAUGCAGCAACGCCGCGUGCGGGAUGACGGCCUUCGGGUUGUAAACCGCUUUCGCCUGUGACGAAGCGUGAGUGACGGUAAUGGGUAAAGAAGCACCGGCUAACUACGUGCCAGCAGCCGCGGUGAUACGUAGGGUGCGAGCGUUGUCCGGAUUUAUUGGGCGUAAAGGGCUCGUAGGUGGUUGAUCGCGUCGGAAGUGUAAUCUUGGGGCUUAACCCUGAGCGUGCUUUCGAUACGGGUUGACUUGAGGAAGGUAGGGGAGAAUGGAAUUCCUGGUGGAGCGGUGGAAUGCGCAGAUAUCAGGAGGAACACCAGUGGCGAAGGCGGUUCUCUGGGCCUUUCCUGACGCUGAGGAGCGAAAGCGUGGGGAGCGAACAGGCUUAGAUACCCUGGUAGUCCACGCUGUAAACGGUGGGUACUAGGUGUGGGGUCCAUUCCACGGGUUCCGUGCCGUAGCUAACGCUUUAAGUACCCCGCCUGGGGAGUACGGCCGCAAGGCUAAAACUCAAAGGAAUUGACGGGGCCCCGCACAAGCGGCGGAGCAUGCGGAUUAAUUCGAUGCAACGCGUAGAACCUUACCUGGGUUUGACAUGGAUCGGGAGUGCUCAGAGAUGGGUGUGCCUCUUUUGGGGUCGGUUCACAGGUGGUGCAUGGCUGUCGUCAGCUCGUGUCGUGAGAUGUUGGGUUAAGUCCCGCAACGAGCGCAACCCUUGUUCACUGUUGCCAGCACGUUAUGGUGGGGACUCAGUGGAGACCGCCGGGGUCAACUCGGAGGAAGGUGGGGAUGACGUCAAGUCAUCAUGCCCCUUAUGUCCAGGGCUUCACGCAUGCUACAAUGGCUGGUACAGAGAGUGGCGAGCCUGUGAGGGUGAGCGAAUCUCGGAAAGCCGGUCUCAGUUCGGAUUGGGGUCUGCAACUCGACCUCAUGAAGUCGGAGUCGCUAGUAAUCGCAGAUCAGCAACGCUGCGGUGAAUACAGUUCCCGGG
Molecule: ribosomal RNA, 1344 nt
Filed under: uncultured bacterium
Lineage: Bacteria
Description: 16S ribosomal RNA
Rfam family: Bacterial small subunit ribosomal RNA
Source: RNAcentral